GACGAACGCUGGCGGCGUGCCUAAUACAUGCAAGUUGAGCGCUGAAGGUUGGUACUUGUACCAACUGGAUGAGCAGCGAACGGGUGAGUAACGCGUGGGGAAUCUGCCUUUGAGCGGGGGACAACAUUUGGAAACGAAUGCUAAUACCGCAUAAAAACUUUAAACACAAGUUUUAAGUUUGAAAGAUGCAAUUGCAUCACUCAAAGAUGAUCCCGCGUUGUAUUAGCUAGUUGGUGAGGUAAAGGCUCACCAAGGCGAUGAUACAUAGCCGACCUGAGAGGGUGAUCGGCCACAUUGGGACUGAGACACGGCCCAAACGCCUACGGGAGGCAGCAGUAGGGAAUCUUCGGGAAGGGACGAAAGUCUGACCGAGAAACGCCGCGUGAGGGAAGAAGGGUUUCGGAUCGUAAAACUCUGUUGGUAGAGAAGAACGUUGGUGAGAGUGGAAAGCUCAUCAAGUGACGGUAACUACCCAGAAAGGGACGGCUAACUACGUG
This 497-nucleotide ribosomal RNA is filed under the name uncultured bacterium. RNAcentral's name for it is "partial 16S ribosomal RNA". It matches the Rfam family "Bacterial small subunit ribosomal RNA", at positions 28 to 507 of the family's 1533-position model. The record is from RNAcentral.